RNAcentral lists this unclassified non-coding RNA (694 nucleotides) under Hevea brasiliensis (rubber tree). Lineage: Eukaryota; Viridiplantae; Streptophyta; Magnoliopsida; Malpighiales; Euphorbiaceae. The record is from RNAcentral.
AUAUCAGGAGCUGUUUUCUCAAUUGAAGUCUUUGAAUCUUCUCUUCAUCUUUGGCAGUCGGAUGAAUCUGGUAUUGGGUGUCUUCUCUACUUGAUUGAUGUUAUUGCAAGCCUCCUUAGUGGGAGACUUGUUCGGGAGCGAAUUGGUCCAGCCAUGUUAAGUGCAGUACAAAGCCAGAUGGGUGCUGUUGAAACAAGCUUUGACGAAGUCCAGAACAUCUUUGACACUGGUGGUGCCAAGGGAUUGCCAGGUGAUUCUGUUGAAAAGAUCCCCAAGAUCAAAAUCACAAGUAAUAACAACGUAGAUGCUUCAGGGGAGAGAGUUGCUUGUUCAGUUUGCCUUCAGGACUUUCAGCUUGGAGAGACGGUGAGAAGCUUGCCUCAUUGUCAUCACAUGUUCCACCUACCAUGCAUAGAUAAGUGGCUCCUUAGGCAUGCAUCUUGCCCAUUGUGCAGAAGGGAUCUGUGAUGUGUUUUUUUCCCUGUAAAUUACAAGAUGAGAAAUGGUUAUUUUAUUAAUUACAUGUAUGGUCACUACCUUUGAGGGCCUUUUCUGUUUUUAUCCAUUCAUCUGACCAGAUGAGUUGUGGUAGUUUAGGUAUGCCACGAUCUUUAUACUAGAUCAGUGAUUUGUAUAAAAAUUUUGAGUUAUGGUAGUUUUAAUUGCAUUUUUUUUUUCAAAAAAAAAAAAAAAA